UGUGGUAUCUGGCUCUCGAGAUUCGGAAAACGAUGCCUCUUCGAUUUUUGAGAAAGCAAUCAUGCUGGGGGUCUGGCUCUCGAAAUUCGGAGAGCAGUGUCUCUUCGAUUUUUGAGGAAGUAAUCAUGUUGGGAGUCUGGCUCUUGAGAUUCGGAGGGCGGUGCCUCUUCGAUUUUGGAGCAAGCAAUCCUGUUGGGAGUGUUGUCUCGAAUGUGAGUAAAGGUUGGGCAUGUGUUUGCUAGUCUACCUUGCCACGAAGCACAAAGGUUGACACACAGGGACUUUCCAAUUAUCCAGCAAUGGUACUGUUCCUUUACCCUCUCUUCGCUUUUGAGAAAGUAGUCAUGUUGGGAGUCUGGCUCUCGAGAUUCGGAGGACGGUGCCUCUUCGAUUUUGGAGCAAGCAAUCUUAUUGGGAGUGUUUUCUCGAAUGUGAGUAAAGGUUGGGCAUGUUUGCUAGUCUACCAUGCCACGAAGCACAGAGGUUGACACACAGAGACUUUCCAAUUAUCCAGCAGUGGUACUGUUCCUUUACCCUUAUGGGUAAUAAUAUGGUAGCUAGACCUUCAAAAUUUAUGUGUCUAAACUUUGUUAGUGCUGUUUCUUUGCUAUUCUUUUACCUUUCUUGGUCAGAGCGAUGUAGUGGGAGCUGCAAGCUUCACGUGCUCAACUUUGGCAGAGAACUUUGGCAAAGUUAUCUGUGGUACCCAUGAGCUAUUGUUGCGUGUGACAGGUGCUGACAAGGCUAGAAAAGUAGGUGCCUCUUCGAUUUCUGAGAUCGGCCCUCGUGGUCUCUGAGCAGCCCAGCUUUUGAGAAAGCGAGCGCCUCUUCGAUUGAUUCGGAGAACGAUGCCUCAUCGAUUUUUGAGAAAGCAAUCAUGCUGGGGGUCUGGCUCUCGAAGAUUCGGGAAGCAGUGUCUCUUCGAUUUUUGAGAAAGUAAUCAUGUUGGGAGUCUGGCUCUCGAGAUUCGGAGGGCGGUGCCUCUUCGAUUUUGGAGCAAGCAAUCUUGUUGGGAGUGUUUUUCUCGAAUGUGAGUAAAGGUUGGGCAUGUUUGCUAGUCUACCUUGCCACGAAGCACAGAGGUUGACACAGGGACUUUCCAAUUAUCCAGCAAUGGUACUGUUCCUUUACCCUCUCUUCGAUUUUUAAGAAAGUAGUCAUGUUGGGAGUCUGGCUCUCGAGAUUUGGAGGACGGUGCCUCUUCGAUUUUGGAGCAAGCAAUCUUAUUGGGAGUGUUUUCUCGAAUGUGAGUAAAG
This 1256-nucleotide long non-coding RNA is filed under the name Malus domestica (apple). RNAcentral describes it as "long non-coding RNA (MDOM_LNC009028)". The record is from RNAcentral. Lineage: Eukaryota; Viridiplantae; Streptophyta; Magnoliopsida; Rosales; Rosaceae.